This 314-nucleotide ribosomal RNA is filed under the name uncultured bacterium. Its description in RNAcentral is "bacterial SSU rRNA". It matches the Rfam family "Bacterial small subunit ribosomal RNA", at positions 29 to 351 of the family's 1533-position model. The record is from RNAcentral.
AAUGAACGCUGGCGGCGUGCCUAACACAUGCAAGUCGAACGAGAAAGGUAGUAAUACUGAGUACAGUGGCGCACGGGUGAGUAAUACGCAGGAAUCUGCCUCUGAGUGAAGAAUACCCCCGAGAAAUCGGGGUUAAUACUGCAUAAGCUCGAAAGAGGAAAGGUGGCCUAUAAGCUACCGCUGAGAGAUGAGCCUGCGUCCUAUUAGCUAGUUGGUAGGGUAAGAGCCUACCAAGGCAAAGAUGGGUAGCCGGCCUGAGAGGGUGUCCGGCCACACUGGAACUGAGACACGGUCCAGACUCCUACGGGAGGCUG